GAACGACAGUGUUUCAGGAAAACCCAGUGAUGUAGUGGCAGAGAUGUUUGAGAAACAAAUGGUUGGUGCUGCUUUCUGGGCAACUCCGUAAAAUUUUCACUGAAAUUUUAACAAUGAAUUACUUCAAAGUGAGAGGCAAAUGGAUUUGAACAUCAGGUUACUCCUCCUCCUGUAAAAAUCAUUCAUAUGUGAGUUGAAUUUUGAACUUGACUCAUAACAACCUAAGUAUGUUCAUUAAAAAGUCUCCACCUUGAAA
RNAcentral lists this long non-coding RNA (256 nucleotides) under Chinchilla lanigera (long-tailed chinchilla). RNAcentral describes it as "lncRNA (ENSCLAG00000026047.1)". Lineage: Eukaryota; Metazoa; Chordata; Mammalia; Rodentia; Chinchillidae. The record is from RNAcentral.